CUAGUCCGGGCCUUGGGGGAGUCCCCGGAGUCCCCGUGGCUUUCCAGCUCCAGGCUCGGGAGAGGGUGACCUUGGAGCCGGGAUUUCACUUCUACAGCGCUGUGGUGCCGGGGGGACAGGGAGAAGGGCUCCCUGGCCCCCAGUUCACGAGGAGAAGGGGCCUUGACCGGUCAGGACCACCACCCUACGACGCCGCUCAGCUCUGGGCGAUUCUCUCCUCCCUUGCUGAAGCAGGCAUUGAGAGCCUGCGUUCCUCCCGCUCUGUUUCCGUUUAGGUAAAAUGGAUAGAAUAAUAGUACUUACCUCAAAGGAUUGUUGAAGAGAAUCAACAAGAUGAUAUCCCUGAAGCACUGGGAAUAGUGUCUGGCACACAGCACUCUCCCAGGAGCACACCGCGGCGCUAGAGAAGACCAGGAAAAAGGACCUGAGCCAGCUUGCCGUCUUAACAAAAAUUUCAAACUUUGCAAAGCGGUAUACCUUCUUAUUCUCCAGUUCAGUAUUGCCAGUGAAGUCAUACUGAACGCAGACAAGGAAAAGAAAGAAAAAGAAACUCAAUGAGAUAUGUUGUCAUCUUCCCUGUUUUAUGGAUGAAGUUCUAAGUAGAGGUUCGGAGAAGAUGUUCAGCCUCAGAACGUAGCCACCUUGCUGUGAGAAAGCCCAACCAUCUUGUACAGCGAGACCACAUGGAGAGGCGCAUGUGGAAAGGAACGGAGGCUACAAGCCGAUAGCCAGCAUCGACUGCCAGGCACGGAGAGUGAGUCUUCAGAUGAAUCCAGCCUCAGCCUAGAGUCUUUUGUCUCAGGCCCCAGACACUGUGGAGCAGGGACAAGCCAUCCCCACUGUGUCCCACCCGCAUUCCUGAUCCACAGAAUCUAUGAGCACAAUAAAUAGUUGCUUUA
Molecule: long non-coding RNA, 899 nt
Filed under: Homo sapiens (human)
Lineage: Eukaryota; Metazoa; Chordata; Mammalia; Primates; Hominidae
Description: HSALNT0351620
Source: RNAcentral